Molecule: ribosomal RNA, 1385 nt
Filed under: Plantibacter sp.
Lineage: Bacteria; Bacillati; Actinomycetota; Actinomycetes; Micrococcales; Microbacteriaceae
Description: bacterial SSU rRNA
Rfam family: Bacterial small subunit ribosomal RNA
Source: RNAcentral
UGCAGUCGACGAUGACCAGGAGCUUGCUCUUGGGGAUUAGUGGCGAACGGGUGAGUAACACGUGAGUAACCUGCCCUUGACUCUGGGAUAAGCGUUGGAAACGACGUCUAAUACCGGAUACGAGCUUCCACCGCAUGGUGAGUUGCUGGAAAGAAUUUUGGUCAAGGAUGGACUCGCGGCCUAUCAGCUUGUUGGUGAGGUAAUGGCUCACCAAGGCGACGACGGGUAGCCGGCCUGAGAGGGUGACCGGCCACACUGGGACUGAGACACGGCCCAGACUCCUACGGGAGGCAGCAGUGGGGAAUAUUGCACAAUGGGCGAAAGCCUGAUGCAGCAACGCCGCGUGAGGGACGACGGCCUUCGGGUUGUAAACCUCUUUUAGCAGGGAAGAAGCGAAAGUGACGGUACCUGCAGAAAAAGCACCGGCUAACUACGUGCCAGCAGCCGCGGUAAUACGUAGGGUGCAAGCGUUGUCCGGAAUUAUUGGGCGUAAAGAGCUCGUAGGCGGUUUGUCGCGUCUGCUGUGAAAUCCCGAGGCUCAACCUCGGGUCUGCAGUGGGUACGGGCAGACUAGAGUGCGGUAGGGGAGAUUGGAAUUCCUGGUGUAGCGGUGGAAUGCGCAGAUAUCAGGAGGAACACCGAUGGCGAAGGCAGAUCUCUGGGCCGCUACUGACGCUGAGGAGCGAAAGGGUGGGGAGCAAACAGGCUUAGAUACCCUGGUAGUCCACCCCGUAAACGUUGGGCGCUAGAUGUGGGGACCAUUCCACGGUUUCCGUGUCGUAGCUAACGCAUUAAGCGCCCCGCCUGGGGAGUACGGCCGCAAGGCUAAAACUCAAAGGAAUUGACGGGGGCCCGCACAAGCGGCGGAGCAUGCGGAUUAAUUCGAUGCAACGCGAAGAACCUUACCAAGGCUUGACAUAUACGAGAACGGGCCAGAAAUGGUCAACUCUUUGGACACUCGUAAACAGGUGGUGCAUGGUUGUCGUCAGCUCGUGUCGUGAGAUGUUGGGUUAAGUCCCGCAACGAGCGCAACCCUCGUUCUAUGUUGCCAGCACGUAAUGGUGGGAACUCAUGGGAUACUGCCGGGGUCAACUCGGAGGAAGGUGGGGACGACGUCAAAUCAUCAUGCCCCUUAUGUCUUGGGCUUCACGCAUGCUACAAUGGCCAGUACAAAGGGCUGCAAUACCGUAAGGUGGAGCGAAUCCCAAAAAGCUGGUCCCAGUUCGGAUUGAGGUCUGCAACUCGACCUCAUGAAGUCGGAGUCGCUAGUAAUCGCAGAUCAGCAACGCUGCGGUGAAUACGUUCCCGGGCCUUGUACACACCGCCCGUCAAGUCAUGAAAGUCGGUAACACCCGAAGCCAGUGGCCUAACCGUAAGGAAGGAGC